Molecule: ribosomal RNA, 253 nt
Filed under: uncultured bacterium
Lineage: Bacteria
Description: partial 16S ribosomal RNA
Rfam family: Bacterial small subunit ribosomal RNA
Source: RNAcentral
UACAGAGGUCUCAAGCGUUAUCCGGAUUCAUUGGGCGUAAAGGGUGCGUAGGUGGCGCUGUAAGUCAGGUGUGAAAUUUCGGAGCUCAACUCCGAAACUGCAUUUGAUACUGCGGUGCUUGAGGACUGGAGAGGAGACUGGAAUUCACGGUGUAGCAGUGAAAUGCGUAGAUAUCGUGAGGAAGACCAGUGGCGAAGGCGGGUCUCUGGACAGUUCCUGACACUGAGGCACGAAGGCCAGGGGAGCAAACGGG